UGGGCGACAGAGUGAGACUCCAUUAAAAAAAAAAGCCUUCAGGCUCAUCACCUUGGUGAGGCAACCACCAAUUUAAGUGACCUUCCAGAGCCCCCAGGCAUCCCCCUACACAAAUACUUUUUUCUAAGAGUGACUAAAAUUGGUGUUUCCUAACCUACAUAAAAAAUCACUUAGGUGAGCAGUAUAAAAUACCACUCACUUUUCCUCCCCUAUAAGAUUACAGAUAUAUCUAAAGUCUUCAGGUCUGUAUAUAGUAGUGACUUAGCUACAUCACUGGUUAAAGUAAAUGUGCCAGGACUGACUUCCCAGGUCUCUCAUAGGCACGCCCUUCAAACCCACAUUGAACCUGAAAUCCCAGUGUUCCAGGUUCAGUUGGUUUCCAAUGGCACCCAGGUGUCAGGUUGACCCGAUAGGAUGCCUUAGGUAUCGGGGCCGUGGGGGGAUGGGAGGAUGCAGGUGCCACCUUAAAGCAUCACACCAUCCCACCAGGCUGUUCCAGAAAACACAAAACUUUUUCAGACUCUGUCUCCAGAAAGGGACUUAGUCUCCAAAGAGGUUGGUUUUAUCUAGAUGAGUUGAUAGAGAAUGUCUGCUGGAAUUGGGCUCUGAUUCAGUCAGCGUUUGCUAUUUAAAUCAGUCUUAGAUAACUUCCCUAUCAAUUGCAUUCUCUCUUGCAUGAAAAUUACUUCCUGACUGCCUCCUCCUAGCUCAGUACUGUUCUAUUGCUUAGGACAGGAGUGGGCAGUGCCCUCGUAGAUGUUCAUGCGUGUACUGAUAAAAAUUACCUAUAACUCUUAGUGUGAUCUAACACUUCAAGCAGUAUCUGAGAGAAGGGGUAUCGGAUAUAAAACAAAUCAUGGCCUGCCAGAGAAGAGUCCUUCAGUGAGCUCUUGAGAGUUGAAGCCAAAGAGGCCAGAUGCUGAAGAACUUGGAUGCUGUCUUAAUGAGUUUCACAGUUAGCCUGUAGGUGAUGGAGAGUCAUAAAAGAAUUUUAAGUAGGGGAAUGACAUAAUCACACUUGCAUUUUAAAAAUACAGCUUUGGCUGUGAUAAGUGGGGAACGGGAUAAGGGUUUAACUUAUCAUGCACACUAAAUUACUUCAAAACAUAAUGCCUUCAAACAACAGCACAUUUGGUUGUGUGUGUGGCAGGGUGGAGAUCAGGAUUUCUGGAGCUGCUUAGCUGAGAGGUUUUGGUUAAGGGUCUCCCAGGAGGUUGCCAUGAAGGUGCAGGCUGGGGUCACAGGCACUGGAAGGCAUGGCUGGAGCAAGCAGACCAUUUCCAAGUGGCUCACUCUCAUAGCUGCCAAGUUGGUGAUUGCUGUUUGUAGAUACAUCCAGUUCCUUCCACAUCAACCCUGCCAUAGGCUGCUUGAGUAGUCUCAUGACAUGGCAGCUGGCUCACCCCAGAAUAAGGAAAUGACUUACUGCAAAGAACCACUCUUCCCCACGAGACUUCGAGAAGACCCGCUGUCACGGACUGAGUUGUGUCCUCUUAAAAUUCAGAUGUUGGAGUCCAAACCCCCAGUAACUCAGAGUGUGAACGUAUUUGAAGAGGUCUUUAAAGAGGUGAUGAAGGUCUUUGUCUCUGACAAUUUGCCUCUGUGACGUGGAUGGGACUGGAAGUCCAUUUGGAGCCCUGUCUUCUCCACCUAGGGAGAGAGACCCCAUGAGCUCGUCAAGCUCCUUCUGUGACUGAUCAGAGAUCCCACCGUGAGUCCAGCUCCUGGUCCCAUGCUCUGGAUAUAUCGGUCCCUGGCAGCGUGCAACUCCUUAGCCAAAGACGUGGCAACUGCGGGUGAAGUAUCUCUGGGCAGGAAAUCAAUGCAGAAAUGCAACUGGGGAGAGGGGGCUUGGGGGCCAGUUCCAGGGAGAUUGGAACUGCUGUGUUCUCAUCAGCAGAAGUGGCCCCUGCCCACCCCCAUCCUAAUCCCUUCUCAUGUGGGAGAAGGUCUGUGAGCCCUCUCCCUACCAGGCAGGUUCUAUGGCAAUGUGGGCACAUACCCUGGGGCAGGGGCCGAGGGACUUAACUCACUUCAUGAGCGCCAAUGGAGGAGCGAAGGGAAUGCCUGAUGAAAACAACAUUCUACCAGUAUGCACUGUUUUCUAACCUACAGAGUGCCUCUGUGUUCACUGUCCCAUUUGAGAAUUCUAAGUAGAAUUCUGAACAGGCUGGAGCAGAUUGCCCACCCCAAGGGACAGAUGUUGGCUGGUACUGUUGGUAUUCAUGGAAGAUUCCUUCUGACACUCCCUCCUUCUUUGUAAUUGCCAUGAACUGGAGCACUGGGCCAAUAUAAAUCAUCCAAGGGUGAACACGCUGCACAUGGACGGCUCCUCUUUGUUUUUGAAGGGAUUCCAUCUCUAUUUUGCCAUGUGCUCCUUCACCCCACUCCCCACCCCCGUCUUUCAUUUCUUUCUCUGGAAAAGAUACUUCAACUCACAGGACUGCGAUGUUGAAACGGACACCCAAGAGCAUCACAGAUGGGCCAGGCCUGGACCUCUCGGGACAACAUUCCUCACGACUUUUAGAUAGAAGAGAUUAGAGAUUUGGGACUGGUGGCAACUGGUAACGUUUUCAGUGUUUGGUAAACAGCCAGGGUCCGGAGCUCUGGGAACAGCCUGAUUUAGCUCUUUGUUUAAGUUUUGUGUUAGAGGCUCCCAAGAAGCUGAUGCAGGGGAAAGAAAUUAACAACCAUGGCUCAUUCACAGCCAGGCAGCCAAAUGGACAGCUCUAUAAGACUCAAGCCGACAGCGGAGAGAGUGCAACCAAACAGCCUUGGCCCAGCUUUCAGAGGAGAACGUUAUUCACCCCAACUGCUCUGCAUCUGCCUGGAUGUCUGCCAAGAUCUGUGAGCAUUACAGCGUUGGUAUGCUUUGGGUGAGGCCUGUGGCUAUGGCAACAAGUUGGGAGCAACCCGGUCCCUGGGAAUGAGAACAGUGUCUAAAAUCAGGCAGGCGAGGGGCAGGGAGGAGAGGUAAAGGUUGGACUUGCCUGAAGAUGGAGCCGUUUUAUUGUUGUGGGUAAAGCUGCUACCAUUAGGGGCUGUUUACAGAGUGGGUGCAGCUCAAGCUGGGAGCAUGUUAGACUCAGCGACUACGAUCAACCUAUUGACUUGUUCCCAUGAGACAGAGUAAAUUAACUGUUGCAGUACUGGUCAUGUACCACCAACCUCCUGUGAACCAGCCCUCAGUGAAACAUUUAUGUGAAAGGCCAUGGUGUUCCCAUAAGAGGGUGCAUGUUCUCUCCCUUGACUAACUCUUCAGUAUGCCUCAUUCUCACGCGCUGGUGUGCAGGAAGGAGUCCAACAUGCCCCAUUGACAGUCAUGCCCUGUAUGUGGAAAGUCUUCAGGUAGAGCACUGGGCUCAGGUUUGAAGAUGUGAGUUCUAAUCCUAGCAAGGCCAUUACCUCCCAGUGACCUCAUGUCUCGAUUUCCUCAACCACAAAACAAAGGCAUUGGUGAGCUGACCUCUAAGGCCUCUCCAGUUCUCACCUUCUGUGUCUCUACAGACUGGAGACUAGAAGAUUAUGGGCACUUUUAUUGAGUCUUCAUUUUGUUUCCAUUUCUUUGUAGUCAUCAGCUGGAGUUGAGGACAAGUUUUAACAAUAGAUAGGUUUCUUUUUGUCUCUUUUUAAAAAAUUUUAUUUAAAAUAAAUGCCAAGUGUAGUGGCUCAUACCUGUAAUCCCAGCACUUUGGGGAGGCCAAGGUGGGAGGAUUGCUUUUGAGUUUGAGACCAGCCUGGGCAACGUGGUGAGACCCUGUUUGUACAAAAAAUUUUAAAUUAGCCAGGCAUGGUGGCGUGUGCCUAUAGUCCUAGCUACUCUGGAGGUAGAGGCAGGAGGAUCCCUUGAACCUGGGAGGUUGAGGCCACAGUGAGCUGUGAUUGUGCUAUUGAACUCUAGCCUGGGCAACAGAGCAAGACCCUGUCUCUUAAAAAAGACUAUUUUUUAAGAACACUUUUAGGUUCACAGCGAAAUUUGGAGGAAACUUGGCAUAUGUCAUAUGCCCCCUGCUCCCAUGCAUGCACAGCCUCUACCAUUAGCAAUGUCCCCACUCAAAUGGUACCUUUGUUGUAAUCAACAACCCUGUACUGACACAUCAUCAUCACCCAAACUCCAUAGUUCACAUUAGGUUUCACUCUUGGUGUGGUGUACAUUCCAUGGGCUUGAACAACUGUAUAAUGACAUUAUCCACCACUGCAGGAUCAUACAGAGUAGUCUCACUGCCCUAAAACUACUCUGUGCUCCACCUGUUUGUCCCUUCUUUCACUCUAAACUCCUGGCAACAACUGACCUUUUUACUGCCUCGAUAGCUUUGCCUUCUUCGGAAUGUCAUGUAGUUGAAAUCAUACAUCAUGAAGCCUUUUCAGAUUGGCUUCAUAUAGGUUUCCUUCCUUCCUUCCUCCCACCACCUUCCUUUCUUUCUGUAUUCCUAACUCUUGGAUGUAUUUUCCCCAGCAUCAUGACUUGAUGGGACUUUUGCUAAGAUAGGCAAUCAUAGAAAGUCAUAAAUCUCUUGUCAGCCUUAUUGGCUCACCUCCGAGAUGGUUCCAACACUCUUUAAGGCCCACUUUUCCAAUCCACAGAUUCCCCAGCAGAAGUCCAAGCUGCUGAGCCUCACAUCAUCUUUUGCACUAGUAAUCUUUACCACUACUUCACUGUAGCAUUUGAAAAUUUUCAUAUGAAGCCAUAGUUCUGUGUCUUUUUUUUUUUUUUUUUUUUUUUGGAGACGGAGUCUUAACCUGUUGCCCAGGCUGGAGUGCAGUGGCACAGUCUUAGCUCACUGCAAGCUCCGCCUCACGGGUUCAAGUGAUUCUUGCCUCAGCCUCCCAAGUAGCUGGGAUUACAGGCGCGCCACCAUGCCCAGCUAAAUUUGUUGGCAUUUUUAGUAGAGAUGGGGUUUCACCAUGUUGGCCAGGCUGGUCUCAAACUCCUUACCUCAGGUGAUCUGCCUGCCUCAGCCUCCCAAAGUGCUGGGAUUAAAGGUGUGAGCCACCGCACCUGGCCUGAAGCCAUAGUUCUUAACCUCAGUUGUGCAAUAGAAUUAUCUGGGGAAUUUAAAAAUUAGAAAAAACCCAUGCCCUGAAGAUUGUGAUCUAACUGGUCUUGCGUAGCGCCUGGGCAUUGGUAUUUUUUAAAUGUUUCCCAACUGAUACUAAUGUGGCCAUUCUGCAAGCCACAGUUGAAAGGCUUAUUCAAGCAUCCUGUUGCUGAAUGCAUGUCGUCCUUACCACAUGACUCUGGAGGUUUUCUUGUAUUCUGAUGUGGCUGCCCUGUUGAGGCCUGCCCCUUAGAGUGGAGAUUAUCCCCUGCAGUAGGCUGCCUGGAAUAUGAUCCCCAGUGAUCCCUGCUUCCUGGUAUUCAGGCCCUGGUGUGAUCCCUUUCCCUUGAAGCCUGGGCUGGAUUAGUGACUUGCUUCUAACCAACAGCAUAUGGCAAAAAUAAAUGUUUAUUGUUUUAAA
RNAcentral lists this long non-coding RNA (5460 nucleotides) under Homo sapiens (human). RNAcentral's name for it is "HSALNT0332098". Lineage: Eukaryota; Metazoa; Chordata; Mammalia; Primates; Hominidae. The record is from RNAcentral.